RNAcentral lists this ribosomal RNA (454 nucleotides) under uncultured bacterium. Its description in RNAcentral is "bacterial SSU rRNA". It matches the Rfam family "Bacterial small subunit ribosomal RNA", at positions 28 to 478 of the family's 1533-position model. The record is from RNAcentral.
GAUGAACGCUGGCGGCGUGCUUAACACAUGCAAGUCGAACGGAGAGCUAAUGACAGAGGAUUCGUCCAAUGGAGUUAGUUUCUUAGUGGCGGACGGGUGAGUAACGCGUGAGGAACCUGCCUUGGAGUGGGGAAUAACACAGAGAAAUCUGUGCUAAUACCGCAUAAUGCAGUUGAGUCGCAUGACUCUGACUGCCAAAGAUUUAUCGCUCUGAGAUGGCCUCGCGUCUGAUUAGCUAGUUGGCGGGGUAACGGCCCACCAAGGCGACGAUCAGUAGCCGGACUGAGAGGUUGGCCGGCCACAUUGGGACUGAGACACGGCCCAGACUCCUACGGGAGGCAGCAGUGGGGAAUAUUGGGCAAUGGGCGCAAGCCUGACCCAGCAACGCCGCGUGAAGGAAGAAGGCCCUCGGGUUGUAAACUUCUUUUGUCAGGGACGAAGCAAGUGACGGUAC